CUGGCUCAGGAUGAACGCUGGCGGCGUGCUUAACACAUGCAAGUCGAACGGAGUUAAGAAGGAAGCUUGCUUCAUUUAAACUUAGUGGCGGACGGGUGAGUAACGCGUGAGGAACCUGCCCUUCAGUGGGGAACAACAACUAGAAAUGGUUGCUAAUACCGCAUAAUGUCGGAGAGCCGCAUGACUUUCCGACCAAAGGAUUUAUUCGCUGAAGGAUGGCCUCGCGUCCGAUUAGGUAGUUGGUGAGGUAACGGCCCACCAAGCCUACGAUCGGUAGCCGAACUGAGAGGUUGAUCGGCCACAUUGGGACUGAGACACGGCCCAGACUCCUACGGGAGGCAGCAGUGGGGGAUAUUGGGCAAUGGGCGAAAGCCCUGACCCAGCAACGCCGCGUGAAGGAUGACGGUCUUCGGAUUGUAAACUUCUUUAAUUGGGGAAGAACAAAAUGACCUACCCGAAGAAUAAGUCACGGCUAACUACGUGCCAGCCGCUGC
RNAcentral lists this ribosomal RNA (494 nucleotides) under uncultured bacterium. RNAcentral describes it as "bacterial SSU rRNA". It matches the Rfam family "Bacterial small subunit ribosomal RNA", at positions 19 to 518 of the family's 1533-position model. The record is from RNAcentral.